ACUGACACAAAAUUAUAAUACCUUGUAUUAUUAAUAGUUAUUUUCUUUAAAAUAAAGAAUUUGGCGGUAGCUUAUCUUAUUAGAGGAAUCUGUUCAUUAAUUCGAUACAACACGUUAAAUUUUACUUACUUUGAAGGUUUGUAUACCGUCAUUAAGAUAAUUUUGAUAAAAAUUUAUUAUAAAAAAAAAUUCUAAGAAAUUAGAUCAAGGUGCAGCGUAUAAGUAAGGUAGAAAUGGAUUACAAUAGUUUUAAACUGUGGAUAGACUUAUGAAAAUAAGUCUGGAAAGUGGAUUUAAUAGUAUAUUGAGAAUAUAAUAUAUCAGGUAGAAAUUAGCUCUAAGCUAUGU
This 348-nucleotide ribosomal RNA is filed under the name Dorippoides nudipes. RNAcentral's name for it is "partial 12S ribosomal RNA". The record is from RNAcentral. Lineage: Eukaryota; Metazoa; Arthropoda; Malacostraca; Decapoda; Dorippidae.